RNAcentral lists this non-coding RNA (28 nucleotides) under Rattus norvegicus (Norway rat). Lineage: Eukaryota; Metazoa; Chordata; Mammalia; Rodentia; Muridae. The record is from RNAcentral.
CAAAAAAGCGGCCACAGCGAGCGGCUCU